RNAcentral lists this ribosomal RNA (637 nucleotides) under Enterococcus durans. RNAcentral describes it as "bacterial SSU rRNA". It matches the Rfam family "Bacterial small subunit ribosomal RNA", at positions 863 to 1502 of the family's 1533-position model. The record is from RNAcentral. Lineage: Bacteria; Bacillati; Bacillota; Bacilli; Lactobacillales; Enterococcaceae.
AACACUCCGCCUGGGGAGUACGCCCGCAAGGGUGAACUCAAAGGAAUUGACGGGGGCCCGCACAAGCGGUGGAGCAUGUGGUUUAAUUUGAAGCAACGCGAAGAACCUUACCAGGUCUUGACAUCCUUUGACCACUCUAGAGAUAGAGCUUCCCCUUCGGGGGCAAAGUGACAGGUGGUGCAUGGUUGUCGUCAGCUCGUGUCGUGAGAUGUUGGGUUAAGUCCCGCAACGAGCGCAACCCUUAUUGUUAGUUGCCAUCAUUCAGUUGGGCACUCUAGCAAGACUGCCGGUGACAAACCGGAGGAAGGUGGGGAUGACGUCAAAUCAUCAUGCCCCUUAUGACCUGGGGUACACACGUGCUACAAUGGGAAGUACAACGAGUCGCGAAGUCGCGAGGCUAAGCUAAUCUCUUAAAGCUUCUCUCAGUUCGGAUUGUAGGCUGCAACUCGCCUACAUGAAGCCGGAAUCGCUAGUAAUCGCGGAUCAGCACGCCGCGGUGAAUACGUUCCCGGGCCUUGUACACACCGCCCGUCACACCACGAGAGUUUGUAACACCCGAAGUCGGUGAGGUAACCUUUUGGAGCCAGCCGCCUAAGGUGGGAUAGAUGAUUGGGGUGAAGUCGUAACAAGAGCUAGG